AAGGGACCUAGCGUAGUUCGGAAUUACUGGGCUUAAAGAGUUCGUAGGUGGUUGAAAAAGUUGGUGGUGAAAUCCCAGAGCUUAACUCUGGAACUGCCAUCAAAACUUUUCAGCUAGAGUAUGAUAGAGGAAAGCAGAAUUUCUAGUGUAGAGGUGAAAUUCGAAGAUAUUAGAAAGAAUACCAAUUGCGAAGGCAGCUUUCUGGAUCAUUACUGACACUGAGGAACGAAAGCAUGGGAAGCGAAGAGGAUUAGAUACCCUCGUAGUCCAUGCCGUAAACGAUGUGUGUUAGACGUUGGAAAUUUAUUUUCAGUGUCGCAGGGAAACCGAUAAACACACCGCCUGGGGAGUACGACCGCAAGGUUAAAACUCAAAUGAAUUGACGGGGACCCGCACAAGUAGUGGAGCAUGUGGUUUAAUUCGAAGAUACGCGCAGAACCUUACCAACACUUGACAUGUUCGUCGCGACUCUAAGAGAUUGGAGUUUUCGGUUCGGCCGGACGAAACACAGGUGCUGCAUGGCUGUCGUCAGCUCGUGUCGUGAGAUGUUGGGUUAAGUCCCGCAACGAGCGCAACCCUCACUUUUAGUUGCCAUCAUUAAGUUGGGCACUCUGAAAGAACUGCCAGUGAUAAGCUGGAGGAAGGUGGGGAUGACGUCAAGUCCUCAUGGCCCUUACGUGUUGUGCUACACACGUGCUACAAUGGCAUCUACAACAGGAAGCAAAACGGCAACGUUAAGCAAAUCCCGAAAAGAUGCCUCAGUUCGGAUUGCACUCUGCAACUCGAGUGCAUGAAGCUGGAAUUACUAGUAAUCGUGGAUCAGCGUGCCACGGUGAAUGCGUUCCCGGGUCUUGUACACACCGCCCGUCACACCAUGGGAGUUGGUUCUACCUUAAGGCAAGGUUUUAAACCCUUGACCACGGUAUAGUCUGCGACUGGGGUGAAGUCGUAACAAGGUAGCCGUAGGGGAACCUGCGGCUGGAUUACCUCCUUUCUAAGGAUGAGUGAAAGUAAAAUUUCACUCUAAAUAAUAUACAUCGGUAAUGUUGACCGUCCUCAUUUCUCUUCUUAAAGUGAUGUUUCCUUCUUGUAGGGCCGGUAGCUCAGUUGGUUAGAGCACACCCUUGAUAAGGGUGGGGUCGAAAGUUCGAGUCUUUCUCGGCCCACCAAAAACCUAAAUGGGGGAUUAGCUCAUCUGGGAGAGCGCCUGAUUUGCAUUCAGGAGGUAGCAGGUUCGAUCCCUGUAUCCUCCACCAGGAAACAUUUAGUUAUUAAAACUGUAAAUAAAAAUAAUUUAUAUCAAUAUCUAUAUCCGAACAUUAAAAGUUAUUAUUUAAUGUUCAAAAUAAAAUUUGAUCACAACAUAGAUAAAUUUUCUGUAAAAAGAAUUUUUUUCUGUGCAUAAAUCAAGCGUUUAAGGGCGCGUAGUGGAUGCCUUGGCACUGAAAGCCGAUGAAGGACGUGAUAUACUGCGAUAAGUUUCGGGGAGCUGUAUGUAAGCUUUGAUCCGAAAAUUU
This 1517-nucleotide small RNA is filed under the name uncultured marine bacterium. Its description in RNAcentral is "bacterial SSU rRNA". The stretch from base 1 to 994 matches the Rfam family "Bacterial small subunit ribosomal RNA", at positions 528 to 1533 of the family's 1533-position model. The record is from RNAcentral.